This 162-nucleotide ribosomal RNA is filed under the name Heracleum kingdonii. RNAcentral's name for it is "5.8S ribosomal RNA". It matches the Rfam family "5.8S ribosomal RNA". Rfam says of the family: 5.8S ribosomal RNA (5.8S rRNA) is a component of the large subunit of the eukaryotic ribosome. The record is from RNAcentral. Lineage: Eukaryota; Viridiplantae; Streptophyta; Magnoliopsida; Apiales; Apiaceae.
AACGACUCUCGACAACGGAUAUCUCGGCUCUUGCAUCGAUGAAGAACGUAGCGAAAUGCGAUACUUGGUGUGAAUUGCAGAAUCCCGUGAACCAUCGAGUCUUUGAACGCAAGUUGCGCCCGAAGCCAUUAGGCUGAGGGCACGUCUGCUUGGGUGUCACGC